RNAcentral lists this ribosomal RNA (252 nucleotides) under uncultured bacterium. RNAcentral's name for it is "partial 16S ribosomal RNA". It matches the Rfam family "Bacterial small subunit ribosomal RNA", at positions 525 to 776 of the family's 1533-position model. The record is from RNAcentral.
ACAGAGGGUGCAAGCGUUAAUCGGAAUUACUGGGCGUAAGGCGCGCGUAGGCGGUUAGUUAAGUCAGAUGUGAAAGCCCUGGGCUCAACCUAGGAACGGCAUCUGAAACUGGUUAACUAGAGUUUAGAAGAGGGGAGUGGAAUUUCAGGUGUAGCGGUGAAAUGCAUAGAGAUCUGAAGGAACACCAGUGGCGAAGGCGACUCCCUGGUCUAAAACUGACGCUGAGGUGCGAAAGCGUGGGUAGCAAACGGG